AACUCGCUGUGAAGAUGCAGUGUACCCGCGGCAAGACGGAAAGACCCCGUGAACCUUUACUAUAGCUUGACACUGAACAUUGAGCCUUGAUGUGUAGGAUAGGUGGGAGGCUUUGAAGUGUGGACGCCAGUCUGCAUGGAGCCGGCCUUGAAAUACCACCCUUUAAUGUUUGAUGUUCUAACGUUGACCCGUAAUCCGGGUUGCGGACAGUGUCUGGUGGGUAGUUUGACUGGGGCGGUCUCCUCCUAAAGAGUAACGGAGGAGCACGAAGGUUGGCUAAUCCUGGUCGGACAUCAGGAGGUUAGUGCAAUGGCAUAAGCCAGCUUGACUGCGAGCGUGACGGCGCGAGCAGGUGCGAAAGCAGGUCAUAGUGAUCCGGUGGUUCUGAAUGGAAGGGCCAUCGCUCAACGGAUAAAAGGUACUCCGGGGAUAACAGGCUGAUACCGCCCAAGAGUUCAUAUCGACGGCGGUGUUUGGCACCUCGAUGUCGGCUCAUCACAUCCUGGGGCUGAAGUAGGUCCCAAGGGUAUGGCUGUUCGCCAUUUAAAGUGGUACGCGAGCUGGGUUUAGAACGUCGUGAGACAGUUCGGUCCCUAUCUGCCGUGGGCGCUGGAGAACUGAGGGGGGCUGCUCCUAGUACGAGAGGACCGGAGUGGACGCAUCACUGGUGUUCGGGUUGUCAUGCCAAUGGCACUGCCCGGUAGCUAAAUGCGGAAGAGAUAAGUGCUGAAAGCAUCUAAGCACGAAACUUGCC
This 754-nucleotide ribosomal RNA is filed under the name Escherichia coli. RNAcentral's name for it is "partial 23S ribosomal RNA". It matches the Rfam family "Bacterial large subunit ribosomal RNA", at positions 2045 to 2798 of the family's 2925-position model. Lineage: Bacteria; Pseudomonadati; Pseudomonadota; Gammaproteobacteria; Enterobacterales; Enterobacteriaceae. The record is from RNAcentral.